Non-coding RNA from Cheilinus undulatus (humphead wrasse), 72 nucleotides. The record is from the annotation of a RefSeq genome assembly. NCBI's taxonomy places the organism in Eukaryota, Metazoa, Chordata, Actinopteri, Labriformes, Labridae.
GGGGAUGUAGCUCAGUGGUAGAGUGCAUGCUUUGCAUGUAUGAAGCCCUGGGUUCAGUCCCCGGCAUCUCCA